This 595-nucleotide ribosomal RNA is filed under the name uncultured Bacteroidota bacterium. RNAcentral describes it as "bacterial SSU rRNA". It matches the Rfam family "Bacterial small subunit ribosomal RNA", at positions 122 to 715 of the family's 1533-position model. The record is from RNAcentral. Lineage: Bacteria; Pseudomonadati; Bacteroidota.
CAACCUGCCUAUAACUAGGGAAUAACCUUGCGAAAGUAAGACUAAUACCCUAUGAUUUCCUUUGAUGGCAUCAGAUUAGGAAUAAAGAUUUAUCGGUUAUAGAUGGGGAUGCGUCUGAUUAGCUUGUUGGCGGGGUAACGGCCCACCAAGGCAACGAUCAGUAGGGGUUCUGAGAGGAAGGUCCCCCACAUUGGAACUGAGACACGGUCCAAACUCCUACGGGAGGCAGCAGUGAGGAAUAUUGGUCAAUGGGCGGAAGCCUGAACCAGCCAAGUAGCGUGCAGGAUGACGGCCCUAUGGGUUGUAAACUGCUUUUAUACAGGAAUAAAGUUAGCCACGUGUGGUUAUUUGUAGGUACUGUAUGAAUAAGGACCGGCUAAUUCCGUGCCAGCAGCCGCGGUAAUACGGAAGGUCCAGGCGUUAUCCGGAUUUAUUGGGUUUAAAGGGAGCGUAGGCCGUCUGUUAAGCGUGUUGUGAAAUGUAGAUGCUCAACAUCUGAAUUGCAGCGCGAACUGGCAGACUUGAGUGUGCGCAACGUAGGCGGAAUUCGUGGUGUAGCGGUGAAAUGCUUAGAUAUCACGAAGAACUCCGAUUG